This 219-nucleotide ribosomal RNA is filed under the name uncultured bacterium. RNAcentral's name for it is "partial 16S ribosomal RNA". It matches the Rfam family "Bacterial small subunit ribosomal RNA", at positions 15 to 225 of the family's 1533-position model. The record is from RNAcentral.
GAUCAUGGCUCAGGCUGAACGCUAGCUACAGGCUUAACACAUGCAAGUCGAGGGGCAGCAUGGUCUUAGCUUGCUAAGGCCGAUGGCGACCGGCGCACGGGUGAGUGACACGUAUCCAACCUGCCGUCUACUCUUGGACAGCCUUCUGAAAGGAAGAUUAAUACAAGAUGGCAUCAUGAGUUCACAUGUUCACAUGAUUAAAGGUAUUCCGGUAGACGA